Molecule: ribosomal RNA, 1384 nt
Filed under: uncultured prokaryote
Description: partial 16S ribosomal RNA
Rfam family: Bacterial small subunit ribosomal RNA
Source: RNAcentral
GGUCGAGCGAUUAAAGCCCGCAAGGGCAUAUAAAGUGGCAAACGGGUGAGUAACAGGUGGAUAAUCUGCCCCUUGGCGGGGGAUAACGGCUGGAAACGGCCGCUAAUACCGCAUUCGGUUGCCUGGGUUUUGGCCCGGGCAAAGAAAGACGCUUCACGGCGUCGCCAAAGGAUGAGUCCGCCCCCCAUUAGCUAGUUGGUAAGGUAACGGCUUACCAAGGCUUCGAUGGGUAGCCGAGCUGAGAGGUUGAUCGGCCACACUGGGACUGAGAUACGGCCCAGACACCUACGGGUGGCAGCAGUAGGGAAUAUUGGACAAUGGGCGAAAGCCUGAUCCAGCCAUGCCGCGUGAGUGAUGGAGGCCUUCGGGUCGUAAAACUCUUUUCUGAGGGAAGAACAACCCAGGGAGGAAAUGAUCCUGGCCUGACGGUACUUCAGGAAUAAGCAACGGCUAACUCCGUGCCAGCAGCCGCGGUAAUACGGAGGUUGCGAGCGUUGUUCGGAAUAACUGGGCGUAAAGGGAGCGCAGGCGGUUUGAUCAGUCUGAAGUGGAAUCCCGGGGCUCAACCCCGGAAGUGCUUUGGAUACUGUCAAGCUUGAGUACGUGAGAGGAAAGUGGAAUUCCAGGUGUAGCGGUGAAAUGCGUAGAUAUCUGGAGGAACACCGGUGGCGAAAGCGACUUUCUGGCACGAUACUGACGCUGAGGCUCGAAAGCGUGGGGAGCGAACGGGAUUAGAUACCCCGGUAGACCACGCCGUAAACGUUGUGCACUAGGUGUGGGAGGGAUCGACCCCUUCUGUGCCGCAGCUAACGCAUUAAGUACACCGCCUGGGGAGUACGCGCGCAAGCGUGAAACUCAAAGGAAUUGACGGGGGCCCGCACAAGCGGUGGAGCAUGUGGUUUAAUUCGAGGCAACGCGAAGAACCUUACCCAGGCUUGACAUCCUGCGCUACUCUUGGAAACAAGAGGUUCUCUUCGGAGACGCAGAGACAGGUGCUGCAUGGCUGUCGUCAGCUCGUGCUGUGAGGUGUUCGGGUAAGUCCGGCAACGAGCGCAACCCCUAUCGUUAGUUACCAUCAUUCAGUUGGGGACUCUAACGAGACCGCCGGUGUUAAGCUGGAGGAAGGUGGGGAUGACGUCAAGUCAUCAUGGCCCUUAUGCCCAGGGCUACACACGUGCUACAAUGGACCCUACAGAGGGCCGCGAAGCCGCGAGGUGGAGCAAAUCCCAGAAAAGGUAUCUCAGUUCGGAUUGGAGUCUGCAACUCGACUCCAUGAAGCUGGAAUCGCUAGUAAUCGCGGAUCAGCAUGCCGCGGUGAAUACGUUCCCGGGCCUUGUACACACCGCCCGUCACACCACGAAAGCUUGUUGUACCAGAAGUCGUU